Pelobates cultripes (western spadefoot toad) is the source of this 148-nucleotide non-coding RNA. The record is from the annotation of a GenBank genome assembly. NCBI's taxonomy places the organism in Eukaryota, Metazoa, Chordata, Amphibia, Anura, Pelobatidae.
GAGCAGACACAUUCCAGCCAAUCAGCAGCAGACCCUCCUUCCCAGACCCUCCCACCUCCUGGACAGCUGCAUUCUUAGUGAGCUGUCCAGGAGCUGGGAGGGACUGGGAGGGAGGGUCUGCUGCUGAUUGGCUGGAAUGUGUCUGCUG